GCACGUGUGAGGUAGUGUGUAGAAAAUGCACGUUACUGGGGAAUGCAAGCUGCCUUUAAAAAUAUAGAUUUAAGUCAAACUGCUGUAUUCCAGCCACAGCACUGAUUUAGUAGACUUGGUUUUUAAAUACAAUACUCUUCAGCCAAACAGGAGGGCGAUUUUGGCUGUCAGCAUCGUUUUGAAGAUUAGAACCCAAAGCAAAUGCGCACGUGUUUUAUUCUCUAAACCUGGGCCUUUGUGUUCCUCUCGUGCUUUCUUCCAGGAAACCAUUAAUAGCAGAAUGUCGGCAAAGUUUCAUUCCCUGGGCAAGGUCAUCAGCCCAGCACCUGCCGUUGGUACACACACAGAGUUUUUCGCUGCAGAUAAGAGGACAAAUCGGCUUAGUCACUUGCUCGACUUCUAUAAAAUCCCCUCUGGAAGUUUUACAACGAGGCAAGUGUGGAGCUGGACCCAGAUCACACCAUGAAGGGAAUGGAGGAGACGGAGAGAGGAUGAGUUCAGGCUUUAAUAAUAUCUACUCUGCCUCCUCAUUCUCCCGUUCUCUCCUGCCCACAUUUUGUGCCUCGGCUACAGUGUCCUCAACAUGACUGAGACUACGACACUCUUAACAUAGCAAAAUGGUAAAAUGUAGCUUUCUGAAAUACAUGUUUACAAAAGAAUCAGUGAUUCGUGGCGCUGGAGGAAGGGUCUAAUCUCUCCUAAUAAUCACUGCAGUUAAGUUGAAGUUUGUAAUUAUUGUAAAGGUACCCAGGAGGUGUUACCGCUGUUGUCUCCAACGUUCAUUUGAUCAAUGAUGGGUAUUUUUUAAGCCCAGUGACGCAGGUUCCUGCCGAACCUUUUCCUCAAGGGGCACAGUGCAGCAGCCUGAGCGUGCCCUCCCGUCACAGCAUCACUGUCUGACACUCUGUAACUGAAGCUUUUUUAUACUUAAGCCAAAUCUUUUCUGGCCAGCAUCUUCAGUCAUUUAAAAUAUGUUCAGCUAGUCUUCCAAUAUUAUUUGUUCUUGCAUUGGUGUCACUGGUUCUGUCUGCUAAAGAAAAAAAAUAAUCAUUUUUAUAGCUGUGGUAACUCUGAGAAGAGUAAUCAGAUUCUGACAAAAUACCUCAGUGGUUUCGUUGCAUUUGUUUGAUAUUGAGCACUAACGAAGAAAACAAAAGAAAUUGGGACUUAUUUUAAACUUAUUAUUCAGCCUCUGAUUCUUCUCAGUAGAAGGAUAUAGAAAAACUUCAUGAUUAAUGAGCUGGUAAAUACUUGCUUUAAAAAAAUACAUAAUUCUGUGCUUAUGUGGUGUUUGAAGUAGAUAUUCUCUCUUAAUUUGCAACAGCCCCACCAUAGCUGUAGUACUCACCUACAAAGCUUUUCAGUGGUGCUACAUGGCUAAAAUACAUAUUCAGUCUAGGUACGUGUACCAGGGACUUCUCGGAUCUCACCAGGGAGAGGGUACAUUUGGCAUUAAAUAAUUUUAACUUUUACAGAAGGAUUUCUAGUUUCUAAGAAAAACAUCGUUUUUAUUUCCAGUUUUAUAUGCCAAGAUGCCUCACUGUAAACCAUCACAUAGUGCAAGUUAAAUAAGAGCUCAGGAAUACUUGACAUCGCACAGCGAUGGCUGGCUGUAAGCAGCCAGAGAUAAAUGAGUCCAAAAGAGAAGAAAACAAGAUCUUCAGCUGGCUCACACUGAUGCUGCUCUCCUCAAACAUGUGUUUUAAAGUGCAGCUGUCAACAAUUCCAUGAGGUGCAUGCUGCCAUUUCCUAGAAGAUAUUAACUUAAGAGAAAAACCCACAUCAGUGAGAAGGGACGAUGAAAAGAAAACUGCGGCCAAUGGCAAGGAGUGAGGGCCCGGAUUGAACAUGCUGUGCAGGUGCUGGAGGACAAAUGCGGUAAGAUCUCCUUUGCAGACGCCACAGCCAUGAAAGGGAUCCAGUGGAAUCCAGUGCUGCACUUGGUGCUUCAGACUGGGAUCCCAAACAACCAGCC
Long non-coding RNA from Columba livia (rock pigeon), 1975 nucleotides. RefSeq lists it as uncharacterized. NCBI's taxonomy places the organism in Eukaryota, Metazoa, Chordata, Aves, Columbiformes, Columbidae. The record is from RefSeq and is a predicted model, not a curated record. The transcript is spliced from 3 exons.